Molecule: ribosomal RNA, 585 nt
Filed under: uncultured bacterium
Lineage: Bacteria
Description: partial 16S ribosomal RNA
Rfam family: Bacterial small subunit ribosomal RNA
Source: RNAcentral
UGGGGAAUUUUGGACAAUGGGCGAAAGCCUGAUCCAGCAAUGCCGCGUGUGUGAAGAAGGCCUUCGGGUUGUAAAGCACUUUUGUCCGGAAAGAAAUCCUUGGCUCUAAUACAGUCGGGGGAUGACGGUACCGGAAGAAUAAGCACCGGCUAACUACGUGCCAGCAGCCGCGGUAAUACGUAGGGUGCAAGCGUUAAUCGGAAUUACUGGGCGUAAAGCGUGCGCAGGCGGUUUGCUAAGACCGAUGUGAAAUCCCCGGGCUCAACCUGGGAACUGCAUUGGUGACUGGCAGGCUAGAGUAUGGCAGAGGGGGGUAGAAUUCCACGUGUAGCAGUGAAAUGCGUAGAGAUGUGGAGGAAUACCGAUGGCGAAGGCAGCCCCCUGGCAAGUACUGACGCUCAUGCACGAAAGCGUGGGGAGCAAACAGGAUUAGAUACCCUGGUAGUCCACGCCCUAAAACGAUGUCAACUAGUUGUUGGGGGAUUCAUUUCCUUAGUAACGUAGCUAACGCGUGAAGUUGACCGCCUGGGGAGUACGGUCGCAAGAUUAAAACUCAAAGAAUUGACGGGGUCAUAGCUGUUUCCU